AGAGUUUGAUCCUGGCUCAGAACGAACGCUGGCGGCAGGCCUAACACAUGCAAGUCGAACGCUCGUAGCAAUACGAGAGUGGCAGACGGGUGAGUAACACGUGGGAACCUUCCCUAUGGUUCGGAAUAGCUCAGGGAAACUUGGGGUAAUACCGGAUAAGCCCUUCGGGGGAAAGAUUUAUCGCCAUUGGAUGGGCCCGCGUCGGAUUAGCUAGUUGGUGAGGUAACGGCUCACCAAGGCAACGAUCCGUAGCUGGUCUGAGAGGAUGAUCAGCCACACUGGGACUGAGACACGGCCCAGACUCCUACGGGAGGCAGCAGUGGGGAAUAUUGGACAAUGGGCGCAAGCCUGAUCCAGCCAUGCCGCGUGAGUGACGAAGGUCUUCGGAUUGUAAAACUCUUUUGGCGGGGACGAUAAUGACGGUACCCGCAGAAUAAGCCCCGGCUAANNUNGNGCCAGCAGCCGCGGUAAUAC
This 474-nucleotide ribosomal RNA is filed under the name uncultured soil bacterium. Its description in RNAcentral is "bacterial SSU rRNA". It matches the Rfam family "Bacterial small subunit ribosomal RNA", at positions 8 to 526 of the family's 1533-position model. The record is from RNAcentral.